UAGGGGGCAAGCGUUAUCCGGAAUUAUUGGGCGUAAAGAGUGCGUAGGUGGUUACCUAAGCAGGGGGUGAAAGGCAAUGGCUCAACCAUUGUUAGCCCUCUGAACUGGGCUACUUGAGUGCAGGAGAGGAAAGCGGAAUUCCUAGUGUAGCGGUGAAAUGCGUAGAUAUUAGGAGGAACACCAGUGGCGAAGGCGGCUUUCUGGACUGAAACUGACACUGAGGCACGAAAGUGUGGGGAGCAAA
Molecule: ribosomal RNA, 244 nt
Filed under: uncultured bacterium
Lineage: Bacteria
Description: partial 16S ribosomal RNA
Rfam family: Bacterial small subunit ribosomal RNA
Source: RNAcentral